Amaranthus tricolor (Joseph's coat) is the source of this 872-nucleotide long non-coding RNA. RefSeq lists it as uncharacterized. The transcript has 3 exons. The record is from RefSeq and is a predicted model, not a curated record. Lineage: Eukaryota; Viridiplantae; Streptophyta; Magnoliopsida; Caryophyllales; Amaranthaceae.
GGUGGUUCCUCCACCAUUUUCAUGCUCCACACCACUACAAAAACCACUUAUACCCUCACCCAUUUCUAGUUCCCCUUGUGCCCGGUUCAUAAGAGGGGCGUAAGAACCCCUUCGAAGCGAUUUUUGUGGCUUGUCAUCUUGCAGUGCAGCAGGGGCGUCGUAGAUAGGUCUUGCAGGUUUUGGAGUUUCCUUGCAUUGCAUAUGGGGGGGGAUCGAGUGAGAACCUUGACGCGUGCCCUGUUCGAACCAUUUUUGACGCUACAUGUGAUUUCGAAUUGAAAGUGUGUAUGUUUUGGUUGAGGCAUGAGUCCUCCUUUUGAUGUAAUUCGUUCCGCUGCAAAGAUUUAUAUCGUUUUAUAUUUUGUUAUAGUAUCUUGAAUGGCUUGUACAGUGGAUUAUCUUUUUGCUUGGAAAACCCAAGUGUUUACAUGGGAACCACGAUCCAUGCUUAGCAUGUCGACAGAGGUUUUGGCGAUGACCUUUCCGCCGUGAUUCUGUUACGAGGCCAUUGAUGCCUCUUCAUUAUGAUGAUUUAUCGUUUGUCUAAAUCUUCGGCGCGUCAAAUUUCAAGGCAGAUGCUGCCGAAAUUUCCGUAGGAUUUUGUUUGGAAGUUUUCAAACGUCAUCUCUUUCUUUUUCCUAUUUAAAUAAUUAUUUAUUUCUACAAGUGACACCCUUGAAGGGUCUGAAAUUCAGGGGUGUUACAGGUGGUAUCAGAGCCAGUGGUUCCUAUCUUUCCCAAACGCUUCGUGUUUUCUCUAGUACUUAUUCCUGUUUUGUUUUCGAAGUUAAACUGCUUUGAGAGUAUGGGUAGACAUGGGUUAGGUGCAUUUAUAUAUGCCUGCAUUUUGAGUAUUAUUGCACAUGAAUUUG